Molecule: ribosomal RNA, 399 nt
Filed under: Bacillariophyta sp.
Lineage: Eukaryota; Bacillariophyta
Description: partial small subunit ribosomal RNA
Rfam family: Eukaryotic small subunit ribosomal RNA
Source: RNAcentral
AUUCCAGCUCCAAUAGCGUAUAUUAAAGUUGUUGCAGUUAAAAAGCUCGUAGUUGGAUUUCUGGUUAGAUGCGCCUGGCCCGCCGACGUUCAGUCGUGUGAAGUGCUGGUGCGCAACUGCCAUCCUUCUAGAGAAGGGACCAACGGUUCAUUCCGGUUCGGUUCACAAUCUAGAUCUUUUACUUUGAAAAAAUUAGAGUGUUUAAAGCAGGCUUUUGCUAUGAAUACAUUAGCAUGGAAUAAUAAGAUAGGACUAUGGUACUAUUUUGUUGGUUUGUGCACCAUGGUAAUGAUUAAUAGGGACAGUUGGGGGUAUUCGUAUUUCAUUGUCAGAGGUGAAAUUCUUGGAUUUUUGAAAGACGAACUACUGCGAAAGCAUUUACCAAGGAUGUUUUCAUUA